AUUGAACGCUGGCGGCAUGCCUUACACAUGCAAGUCGAACGGCAGCAUGGAAGAGCUUGCUCUUCUGAUGGCGAGUGGCGAACGGGUGAGUAAAGCAUCGGAACGUACCGUGUAGUGGGGGAUAACGUAGCGAAAGUUACGCUAAUACCGCAUACGCACUGAGGUGGAAAGCAGGGGAUCGCAAGACCUUGCGCUAUACGAGCGGCCGAUGUCAGAUUAGCUAGUUGGUAGGGUAAAGGCCUACCAAGGCGACGAUCUGUAGCGGGUCUGAGAGGAUGAUCCGCCACACUGGGACUGAGACACGGCCCAGACUCCUACGGGAGGCAGCAGUGGGGAAUUUUGGACAAUGGGCGAAAGCCUGAUCCAGCCAUGCCGCGUGAGUGAAGAAGGCCUCGG
RNAcentral lists this ribosomal RNA (396 nucleotides) under uncultured bacterium. RNAcentral's name for it is "bacterial SSU rRNA". It matches the Rfam family "Bacterial small subunit ribosomal RNA", at positions 30 to 420 of the family's 1533-position model. The record is from RNAcentral.